ACGAGAGAUGCAAGCGUUAUCCGGAAUUAUUGGGCGUAAAGAGUUUGUAGGUGGUUAAAUGUGUUUAAUGUUAAAUAUUAGAGCUCAACUUUGAAAUGGCAUUAAAAACUAUUUGACUUGAGUAUGAUAGAAGUAAAGGGAAUUUCCAGUGUAGCGGUGAAAUGCGUAGAUAUUGGGAAGAACACCAAAGGCGAAAGCACUUUGCUAGGUUAAUACUGACACUGAGAAACGAAAGCUAAGGUAGCAAACAAGAUUAGAUACCUUGGUAGUCUUAGCUGUAAACAAUGGAUACUAAGUGGUGCUUUUUGUACUGCUGUAGUUAACACGUUAAGUAUCCCGCCUGGGGAGUACGCUUGCAAAAGUG
RNAcentral lists this ribosomal RNA (364 nucleotides) under uncultured bacterium. RNAcentral's name for it is "bacterial SSU rRNA". It matches the Rfam family "Bacterial small subunit ribosomal RNA", at positions 525 to 896 of the family's 1533-position model. The record is from RNAcentral.